This 256-nucleotide long non-coding RNA is filed under the name Eucalyptus grandis. RNAcentral's name for it is "long non-coding RNA (EGRA_LNC007119)". The record is from RNAcentral. Lineage: Eukaryota; Viridiplantae; Streptophyta; Magnoliopsida; Myrtales; Myrtaceae.
GUUCGUCUCCGACUGGUUCGGCGUCGGGAACGCUGUGGGCGGCGAACGACGGCAGCAGCAGCAGGGAGGCGUUGUUCGAUGAGGGUCAGCAAGUAGCUCGUCGGGACGGAGGGCGGCGACGGCUCGAGCGGCGUUGAGCGCAGCAGGUGGCGGUGGCUACGCGGCGAACGGCAACGACGACAUCGGGGUCUGCGAGGAUGGGCGGCGGCUGCGUCGGAGGCGAGCGGAAGCAUCAGGUCGUCGCGGGCGGAGUCAG